GCAGCUUCGGGUGGGUGAGCUCGGCGAGCGCCGCCUGCCGUGCCGCGUAGUCGACGGGACGCCGGUUGUCCGGGUCGACCAGGCUGUCC
Molecule: transfer RNA, 89 nt
Filed under: Mycolicibacterium phlei
Lineage: Bacteria; Bacillati; Actinomycetota; Actinomycetes; Mycobacteriales; Mycobacteriaceae
Also listed under: 1 other name
Description: tRNA-Gly
Source: RNAcentral